Molecule: non-coding RNA, 74 nt
Organism: Cordylochernes scorpioides
Lineage: Eukaryota; Metazoa; Arthropoda; Arachnida; Pseudoscorpiones; Chernetidae
Source: the annotation of a GenBank genome assembly
GUCCAGGGGCGGGAAUCGAACCCACAACCUUCCCGCUUACCGGGUAGAUACCAUGUCCACUAGGCUACCCUGGA